The sequence is a ribosomal RNA, 643 nucleotides long. The stretch from base 265 to 418 matches the Rfam family "5.8S ribosomal RNA".
CCUUCCGUAGGUGAACCUGCGGAAGGAUCAUUACUGAAAUGUAAUAACUUCUAUUGAAAGGUUCCAGAGUAGGCGCUACAACGCCGAAAUGACCUUCUCACCCUUGUGUACUCACUAUGUUGCUUUGGCGGGUCGACCUGGUUCCGACCCAGGCGGCCGGCGCCCCCAGCCUUAACUGGCCAGGACGCCCGGCUAAGUGCCCGCCAGUAUACAAAACUCAAGAAUUCAUUUUGUGAAGUCCUGAUAUAUCAUUUAAUUGAUUAAAACUUUCAACAACGGAUCUCUUGGUUCUGGCAUCGAUGAAGAACGCAGCGAAAUGCGAUAAGUAAUGUGAAUUGCAGAAUUCAGUGAAUCAUCGAAUCUUUGAACGCACAUUGCGCCCUCUGGUAUUCCGGAGGGCAUGCCUGUUCGAGCGUCAUUUCAACCCUCAAGCUCUGCUUGGUAUUGGGCAACGUCCGCUGCCGGACGUGCCUUGAAGACCUCGGCGACGGCGUCCUAGCCUCGAGCGUAGUAGUAAAAUAUCUCGCUUUGGAGUGCUGGGCGACGGCCGCCGGACAAUCGACCUUCGGUCUAUUUUUCCAAGGUUGACCUCGGAUCAGGUAGGGAUACCCGCUGAACUUAAGCAUAUCAAUAAGCGGAGGAA